Daucus carota subsp. sativus is the source of this 78-nucleotide non-coding RNA. The record is from Rfam. NCBI's taxonomy places the organism in Eukaryota, Viridiplantae, Streptophyta, Magnoliopsida, Apiales, Apiaceae.
UGUAUGCCUGUGAUGGCUAUAAAUAUACUUUGAGUUAAUUUUAUAUUACUCUGAAAAAAACUUAGUCUGAGGCAUAUG